This 340-nucleotide unclassified non-coding RNA is filed under the name soil metagenome. RNAcentral describes it as "partial contains 5.8S ribosomal RNA, internal transcribed spacer 2, and large subunit ribosomal RNA". The stretch from base 1 to 120 matches the Rfam family "5.8S ribosomal RNA", at positions 35 to 154 of the family's 154-position model. The record is from RNAcentral.
GAUGAAGAACGUAGCGAAAUGCGAUAAGUAGUGUGAAUUGCAGAAUUCAGUGAAUCAUCGAAUCUUUGAACGCACAUUGCGCCCCUUGGUAUUCCAUGGGGCAUGCCUGUUCGAGCGUCAUUUGUACCCUCAAGCUAUGCUUGGUGUUGGGUGUUUGUCCUCUCCUUUUGCGAUUGGACUCGCCUUAAAGACAUUGGCAGCCAGUGUAUUGGUCUGAAGCGCAGCACAUUUUGCGAUUCUUGCUGAUAAUCACUAGCGUCCAGUAAGCCUAUUUUAACACUUUUGACCUCGGAUCAGGUAGGGAUACCCGCUGAACUUAAGCAUAUCAAUAAGCGGAGGA